This is a long non-coding RNA of Prionailurus viverrinus (fishing cat), 5116 nucleotides long. RefSeq lists it as uncharacterized. The transcript is spliced from 5 exons. The record is from RefSeq and is a predicted model, not a curated record. Lineage: Eukaryota; Metazoa; Chordata; Mammalia; Carnivora; Felidae.
CACUGUGUAGAAACUUUUUAGUUUGAUGUAGUCCCACUUGUUUAAUUUUGCUUUUGUUGCCUGUGCUAAUCCCCUCCCCUUCAUUGUGAGCUGGACCUAGAGACUCACUUCCAACGAGUGGAGUACAGCAAUGUGACAAAACAUCACUUCCAAGACGAGGGCAGGAGGGGAUUAAGUCUUCCUUCUUGGUCACGGCUUCCCUUUCUCUUUCUCUGAUCACUCGCCAUGGGGGAAUCCGGUUGCCAUAUCACGAGGUCACUCGGCAACUCGGGAAGAGGUCCACACGGUGACACACUGAGACCGAUAGAUGCUGGGGAACCGAGGCCGGCCAACAACCCUAGCAGUGAUCUUGGAAGUGGACUCUCCACCUGCUCAGCCUCCAGAGACCACGGGCCUGGCUCACAGCUCGACUCCCACCCAACAGGCCCUGAGCCAGAACUGACUGUCCACCUGCUCCUGGACUCCUGAACCACAGAAAACCGUAAGCUCUUUGAAGACAGUGCUGAGGUUAAGUGACUUCCCCAAGACCACACAGCGGAGACAGGACACAAAACCCAGGCCGUUCUCUCCAAAGACAGCUCUUCCUGAAUCAACUUGCUCUUCGGAGAGCUGUCCGGAUCCACCACCUGGAGCACCGACUGCGUGAGGGGCACGGGCUGUCCACGCCAGUGGGAUGGCUAGACAGAAAGGCAGCUGACAUUAGCACGUGCGGGGCAAUGGAAUUGAUGAUGAUGAGCUCGAUGCAGAUGAAGCUGAGCAUGAGCAGAAGAGGGAACUCGUUCUGAAGGGUCACCAGGAGCCUGUCCUGGAUGUGGGCCCCGUGGGGGAACCUCUUCACGAGCACACUCAGGCCCUCAAACAUCUCGGUCGUCCCGUUGUGGGCGUGGUAAUGCAUGAUGGCCUUGUCCAGCGCAUGCUGGAUGGCCAGGAAGCCUUCGUUGCUGUAUCCUGCGUGAGAGAACAGCGGACACCCGAGCGUAAGAGACUUGGAAGACUGGAGGUGCAGAACACCCGCUGAGCGAGGCGGGUCGUGGCUAACGAUUCCUGGAGACGAUCCGGCGGGAGUGGGCCGGUCUCCCUGGAGUCCACGUGCCGCCACGGGGAAGAAGGAGCAGCGUCCCCGGGGGCCCCCUGUGGCUGUGAUGGUGUCCGUUAUCAGAAAACAGGGCAAAGGCAUCCUGAGCCCACAAAACAAGGGGUGUCCAUUGCCACGCUCUUGCACGGUGGGGCCGCAUCCUCUCCCCUAAGCGCUCGGGCUUCAGGGAGAGGGUGCUUGUUCCGCACUUCCGGUCACCAGGACACAUGAAAGGGUUAAAUGCAAAGGACUGGGAGACACGCGCCCCCUCACCUACUGGGACCUCUGUCUGAGCUGUCACUGCUGUGGUCCGAGGGUUAUGGUCGUUGAAUUUUGCUGCCAAGUCUCAAAGCCAAACUUUACCACCGGCAACGUUUAUUUUCAUACAGUGCAGUCGGUGGGCGAAGGUCAGCUUUUGGGAAAAAUAGGUCGGAGGGCAGAGAUUCCCGGUGUGGGGAUCUCGUAAGAGUUAAAGGCCCCACCUCCCAGCAGGGGUUACCGGCCCUCCACAUGGGCAGAGCCAGCGUGGGCUACCCAGCAGUAAAGGGGAGGUGACUAUGCUCUCCCGAUGACCUUGACCUACGCAGACCCCUGGAUCUGUCAGCACGAGAAAGGGAGGAACAAAUUGCUGGUAAUAAAAUUCCGGGAACCAUCACGGAGUCUUCACGGCAUAUCGGAGCGUUUCCACUGCAGAACCGUUGGCAUCCUUUCUAGAAUCACAUGGAAUGAUAAGCCCUCGGGUUUACAUUCCCACUCGCUGGGCUUGCGGGCCCAAGGUUCUCGACAGUUGCGUGGCCAUCCUCCGGGGAGGUGCACGCUGUCUGCUCGAUUUCCUGAGAGCUGUCCGCUCCCUACCAGGGAGGUCUCCCUGAACCCCGCACAAAGAGAGAGACCCCAGGUCUACAGUGACGUGGAGGCCAGGCCUCCGAGCUGCCCCACGGCUUCUCCCCUGGCCUGCAGAGAGCUGAAGACCGUCAGGUAUAUAAGCAAACUUAUGUAAUAAGGAGAGAAGGAGGAGCGGAAGGCAGACGGCCGUCUGUCCCGGGGACGCAGAGCGCGCAGAGAGAAGCGUGGCGGCGGAAGCGGCCGGAGGCGGAAGCAGUGGCAGGUCCCGGAACCGCGGGACUCAGCCCCGGAGACUCCCGCAGGCGGAGGCCUGAAGUGUCCCUGGCAUAGCGCGCACGCGCAGAAGGAAGCCUGGAAGGAAAGCCCUGGAACCGGCGACGCCAAGGACAGAGUAUAAACAGCGAUGAGGUAAGAAGUGAGUCGGAGAUAAUGAAACAGAAUUAACGCCUCGAGACGCCCCAUACGAGGAGGGAGACGUUGCCCGAGGUAGGAUCUUAAGGGAAGACAGAAGAGAAAUGCUUUCUUCUCCGUGGAGGCGACCGAAGGGUCCCAGGGAGUGAGGUGGGGAUCCAGGCCGGAUGCAAAGGCCGAAUGUUUAGGGAGCCGGAGGGCUGCUCACGGACUGGAGCCCAAGGCCCCAGGUUCAUCUCCGUCUCCCUGCGAGACCCGGAGAGCAGCCAGAGGAAGAGACAGAUCGCGCCAGACAACUUCUCUUCAAACCCUGCCACGUGGGCGGCCUGGCGCACAUGGAGGAAAACCCAAGACUUGGGGGAGGCGUGCGAGUCUCCUGCAGACGCUCCAGCCUCGCUCGGGACCAUUCCCCCCCCCCCCCCCCCCCCCCCCCCCCCGCUUCCUUCAGCCUCGUUCACGGCGGCCACACCCCACCCCCAGCCCCGCCGCGGCCCCCCCAACCUGCCCGCCCCCCCACCCCAGUCCCCAGGCCGCCAUCCUACUUUGCAAGUCGUGUCCUUCACCUGCACCGCCGUAUCAUCUCCAGCCUCCCAAGAGGAGCUUUCUCUGUUGUGUUUUGUUUCCAAUCUCGUACUAGUAGAAUUAGAAUGGUAUUUUAGGUUGCCAGGCAAGCGCAAAGCCCCAAAACAGCGGCCCCCACGUGUGUUGCCACUGAGGGCCUUUAAAAGAAUUGUCUGCGUUGAGUGGCACUCAGAGCUGGGAGAGGAGAGCCCUUCCUUUUCACUCGGUACCUUAUGUAUUAUUAGAACAUCUUUACAAAAGCACAUAUUACAAUCAUGGCAAUUUUGGAACAUGACUCCACAUUUUGUGGAUUCCGCGUUUUGAAAAACUGUUAUCUACCUAACUCCAUUAACGAACGUAUUUAUUCAUUCAGUAAAUAUGUAUUGAGCAGCGAGUGUAUGCCAGGCAUGAAGGAGGCCCAGUGAUGAAGAAAACGGACAGGGCCCUCUGCCCUCAGGGAGGUGGAGCCCAGCAGGCUUGUCAACCGCAGGCUUGACACAGAAAGCCCAAAGUGGCGGUGUGAUGAACCGUGAAUCAGAGAUCUCUGACCGUAGCCAAAGGGGCGCAGAGACGAAGGCGCAGCUGAGAAAUCUAAAUAAAGCCCGGUUGGCAGCUUGCCCAGUGCCCCUGAAAGGAGCCUGGAGGCAGGGGUAGGGCCAGACCCUGGACUACUGGUGCAGUGGAAGCCACCAGAGGGGCAGAAGCACAAGGCUGGCCAGACCUUUCGGACCUUUGAGAGACCUUCUUGGCUGCAUGCAGAGACUGGCUUAGAAUGAUUAAAAUGAGAAGAGAGACGGACGACUAGUUCAGAAUCUCCCAAGUCGCCAGAACGUGGUUGCGGCAAUCAGAGACCUCGUGGGCGGCUUUCCCCCAGCUGUCACCUCCACAGAUUUUUUAGGAUUUGGAGACCCCAGAUAUGGAAUCACGACUAUGCGCACCCUCAGGAAACAGCCUCAAACUCUAUAAAAUUGCCCUCCCUCCCUCCCUGUCCUUACCCCGUCGUUAUGUCUCACCUUGAAACUCAACGUCAAAGGAUUUCCCCACCGCUUCAGUGAUAGCCUUCAACGUUUCGCUUUUGGAAGAGACAUACACUAGUUGGUAUCUGGUGUGAGUAGGAAAAUAGAGGAAGUCUGGCAGUAAACUGAUAUUGAUGGCCAGGUAGUUGACAGGAGGUAUUUUCUUGGGCAAACUGUUUAAACGCAGGUACAUGAUGAUCAUGGAGAAGAGUAGCGGCAUUAGGAUUUCAAGCACUGUUAUCAGAGUCUUCCGCUUCUAGAACAGAAAGGAAAGCAGCAUGAGAACGCGAGUGUUAAGUCACCACACGGCGACGUUUCUUCCAUUUAAGAAGCCCUUUCAUUCUCCCCCACCCCCAGCCUCCCUGCACAACCCACAAAAAAGAAAAAAAUAGAGAAUGAACUAAAUGGCUUCUCUUUCUGGACUUUUCCAUGACAUCAGCGGCGAGAAACCAGUAAUGAUGAUGCAACCUUCAGUGAUGACGGUUUGCGGAAUUCCAGUGGGAACCUGGCUUAUUUGUAGGAACGGGCCCCGUUUCAAGUACAGUUGUUGAUUUUUUCUUUAAUCGGUUAUUAGAUGCCAGCGUGACAUAAACAUUCAGUCCCCCCACCCCGGACAUGCCCACGGCUCCAAGAACCACCUUACCCACCUUCAAGAUGAAAUUCUUCCAAAGAAGAAGUUUUAAAUUCCUGACCAUUGUCACUUUCCCACCGGAAGGGGAGGGAUCAGCACCAGCUGGGAAGCAAACGGGGCAACUGUCAGGCAUCACACACACGUGCCCUCCUGUCCUUGAGGAGCUGUCUGCUCUCGGACUUUCAGAGCAUCGUUUCUUCUUUUUUUGCGGGCUCCCCCUCCUCUGCCCACCUCUAAACAUCCCAGCGGGGCUCGGCUCACACUCCCCCGUGGGCAAUCUCACUUGGUCUUUGAUGUUGAAAUGCACGGACACACUGAUGAUUUCCACAUUCCUGUCUACAGCCUGCACCUGCCGGGUCUCCUGCCCCAACCCCUCCCGUCCGAGCAGGAGCCCAGCUUCGCGAGGACAAGGUCGUGCGAAGGUCUCCCUGUCUCCUCUCAUCUCCCGUUUUCCCCUGCCCCGCUGCGGGCCUGGCUGUGAUCCAGAAGGGACAGAAGUGGCUUCUGCUCACAGCCCACGCACCUGCUGUGGCGUGCCUCCCUCAUGCGUCAUUAAACUACUGAACGUGCUGUUUA